This is a long non-coding RNA of Tachysurus fulvidraco (yellow catfish), 6209 nucleotides long. RefSeq lists it as uncharacterized. The transcript is spliced from 6 exons. NCBI's taxonomy places the organism in Eukaryota, Metazoa, Chordata, Actinopteri, Siluriformes, Bagridae. The record is from RefSeq and is a predicted model, not a curated record.
UAGAGAGACUGAACUGCUGCAGCUGGGAGCGACUGCAGGUGCUGAGUUGGAGGAUGUGAUACGACACAAUGACACUCUGUGGAGGAGAAGAACCACAUCACACUAACUCACAACUCACAUUAGACAUCUCUCAAUAAUCAUGAAUAUAUGAAAACUGAGUAUUUAUGAUUUUUUUUUCCAUCAAAUACAUUCACAACAGACAGAUUUAGGAUUAGAACUAUCAGUCUUUUCACACAAUAGUUUUUCUAUUUUUGUGAAAAAAAUCUUGAUUGCAGGUCUGAUAUAUCUGUCUUAGACCAAACCAAACCAAAUGAAACCUAGAUUAUUGUCAGAACCUUUUUUUUACUUUUAUUGUGAAAUUGCCAUAAAUGAAAGUGAAAAACAGUAAGAAUCAUUUUAGUUAAAAUUAAAAUAAAAUCAGUUGGUCAUGAGUGUGCACACCCCUAAACUAACACUUAGUUGUAGCACCUUUAGAUUUUAUAACUGCAUUCAAUCGUCUUAGGCAAGAGUCAAUAAACUUAGUGAUAAAUCUUUAUUUAGAGAUAUUUUGACCAUUCUUCAUUUAGAAAAGUAUUCUAACUCUCUCAGAUUAGCUGGACAUUUCCUGUGUACAGCCCUCGUCGGCUCAACCCAAUCCAGAUGAAGAAAAGCAGCCCCAAUGUAUAAUACCUAUGAUCCAUCACUCAAUAAUCAUCACACCACACUGAACACAGUCCUCCACGUUCACUACUGUAAGAUAAAUAGUUUUACAGUUUUAAAGAUUCUUGUUAUUCAUGAUAACUCAGACUGGAUGGAUAAUUUUUACAUUUGUUUCAGUGUCUAUCACUAAUCCUACCCUCAGUACAGUCUCUGAUUUUGAUCCUGUUAUUAAUCUGGUCUCAGUCUCUGGUUUUGUAGAUUUCUACAGUCAUGGUGUUUACUGUUCCAAUUGAAAACAUCACAGAUUUCCACAUAUAAGGAAUCUGAUUAUCAAACUCAUUUCUGUUCUCUCUGACCCCACACACACUCCAUCUAAACUAUCCUGCUCACAAAGACUGAUUUUCAUUCAGUUUUGUUUGUGUGCAUUGUUUUGAUGCCAAAAAAAUCUUUGGUGUCCUUACUUCAAUGAUUAUCCAUUGAUCCAGUCACACAAACACCCAUCUCUACAUGAGUCUUUUGAUGAGGCAUAUCAAGACCCUGUGUUCGCCCUCACUGGACCCUCUGCAGUUUGUUUAUCAUCACAACCACUCCACAGACAUCAUCACCUUCCUCCAUCUGGUCCUUAACCUCCUUGUCAAAAUGACACAUUUGUGCGAAUUCUAUUCAUAGCAUUAGUUCAGCAUUAAGUUCAAUCAUUACUCAACAUCUGACUGAAAAGCUGUGCCUGAACAAUUUCCUCUGCAGUUGGAUUUUAGAUUUCCUUAUUGGAAGACUUCAGUCAGUCCAAAUCAAAAAGCACCAUCACUAAACUACACCACAGUGAGCAUUGAGACCCCUCAGGGCUGUACACUCAGGUCACAUCUGUUCACUCUGCUCACUCAUAACUGUGCAGUUAUACACAGCUCAAACAACAUCAUCAAGCUCACCAAUGACACGACAGUGCUGGGUCUCAUCAGCAAGAACAAACUGUCAGCAUACAGAGAAGAGAGAAAACAGCUAAUAGCCUCAUAUAGAGCCAUCUGUCUCUGAACAUGGGCAAAACAAAAAACGAUGAUUGUUGACUUCAGGAAAGCAGAGUGGCCAUGCUCUGAUGAAGAUUUACUUGAAGAUCCUCCAUGAAGAUCAUCAAGAGCACCAAAUUCCUUGAUGUUCACCUAGCAGAGAAUCCCAUCUGAUUCUUCAACAUUAGCUCCACCAAGAACAAAGCUCUGCAGCAUUUCUACAUUUUGUAAAGUCUGAGGAAAGCCCAUCUCCCACCCCUAUCAUUAUCAUGUUUUACUGGCUGACUAAUGAGAGUUUACUGAGCAGCUGCAUCACUGCAUGUUCUGCAAAGUCCCUGCAGUAGAUAGUGAGGGCAGCUGAGAAGAUCAUCAGCAGUCUCAUUUACACCACAUGCUGCAUCUGCAAGGCCAACAGCAUUGUGGAGGACCCCACACACACCUCACACACACUCUACACACUCCUGUUGUCUGUAAAAAGGUACCGAAGCGUUCAGGUCUUCACAACCAGACUAUGUAACAGUUUCUUCCCUUUACACCUUUACACUCAGUCUGCAAUCGUUGCACAUUAUUUUUUUCUACAUUCUUUGGGAUCCUGCUACAAAAAAAAGAACUUUUCACACACCAUCAGAUGUCAUACUGAUCAGUGCUAUCUUCAUGUAUCUGUCUUGUUAUCUGUCUGUCAUGACUUGCAUUGUAUAUUCCCACUCAACACGUGAGAUCAUGCGAUGAUCACAGUGACAUCACACAAUCCUCAUACUGUGAUCCUCAGCAUGUGUGUAAAGCGUGAGCUCAAUGUGAGUUCAUCUGAUCCUCAUACUGUGAUCCUCAGCAUGUGUGUAAAGCGUGAGCUCAAUGUGAGUUUAUCUGAUCCUCAUACUGUGAUCCUCAGCAUGUGUGUAAAGCAUGAGCUCAUUGUAAAUGCUUCACACUCCGGUCCAGUUGGUGGUUUUAAAUGCACCAUCUAAGCUGGUCUUCCAACCACCAUAAAACAUUUAAAGAAGAAGAAAAAGUUGUGCAUGGGAUUGUUACACCGCAGAAAUGGUGAGUGGCCUAUUUACAUACUUUUAGAUGUGCAAUGUGGUCUGGUCUUUUUUUUUUUAGCAGAGUACUGCUCACACAUGCUACUGUACAUGUAUACCAGCCAUUUUACCUUCAGUAAUCACACCAAAACUGCUAGCUGCAGCUAGUUUGCCUAUCAGAAUUUGUGAAUUGUUAGGCCUGUUAUGUCAGAUCAUUACAACAUCACUAACUUUAUAUUUCAAUAUAUAAUAUUUUUUUUAUUUAUACUUAUAUUUCAAUAAUUAACAAGCGCUGUAAAACAACAGUAAGCAAGAAUGCUGCACUGGUGGAAUAGCGUAAACUAUCAUUGCUCUUUGGAUAAAAAGAUGAAGUACGCCUACUCUUAGACACUCAUAUUAAAGAUAAAAAGCCUUAUUUCACCACGCUAUAUGACUAGUUUUUUUUUAACAACAACUUCUAUCUGCGGAACUGGAGCUGAUUUAUGUUAAAAGCUUCAACGUCACUUCCCAUUUACCAAAACUCAAAGUGACUGACAUUCAUCCUCUUAUUAACAUAACAAGCAACUUUACCCAGAUAUCAGAGGCAACACCACAUCAUUAAGAAUGUAAAGUGUAGAUCUACAAAAGUGUAGUUUAAAGUAGUUUAUGAUACACACUUUCUUUACACAACAAUUGUCCAAAGAAGACUUCUUAAACAAUUAUCAAAUACAGUAAUCAGUGAGAGUGGCUAAGGUUGUCCUCUCAAACAAAAAUAAUUUGUAAAAGAUGUAUGUGUUUCAUAUAAUGUUUUACUAAUACAGAAGUUCUUUUUGGCCUGUUAGGAUUUGGAAACAAAAAUUAAGGCAUUGAAAAGACAGCAACAAAAAGUUCGUAGAAAAUCAAAAAAGAUCAUUUAGGCUCUACAGAAAAAAAAUGAAAACACUUCUGAUAGUGAACACUCCUCCAGAGAACUUGAAUCAGACUACUCAUCAGACGACUCAGGAAAUAUGCUGAAUGUUGUGGAGCAGCAUCUAAAUGAAGACUUGCAAGAACAGUAUGAUUCAGAAUCACAACAGAAUACCAUAAUUAAUAUGCAAGAUCAAGUGCUAUGGUAUGAAAUUGAUAGACUAAAUGAUUCCAUGGAUGUUACCAGUGAAAGUAACUCAGAGCUAGCUUUGUCUCUGGAGAAAAAGCUGUCUGAGUGGGCAAUGAAAUUCAACAUCUCCAUGACCUCUCUCACUCAUUUGCUUAAGAUUUUGAAGGAACACGACAUUGAUGUUCCAGCAGACGGACGAACACUAUUGAAAACACCUCGUUCUGGCAGUUUGAGAAUAACAGAAAAAUCAGGUGGCAAAUACACAUAUUUUGGAUUAAAGGAAGGUCUUACGCAUACUCUGUCUGAGCAAGACACUUCAAAAUACGACCACUUUGAGAUUUCUUUGAAUAUUGAUGGCCUUUAUUGAUGAAUAUUUCAAGUCCAAAAACCUCACAAUGUGGCCACUUCAGUGUGCUGUCAUCAACAUUGAUGAAGUGAAAAACAGUCCUUUUGUUGUUGCUCUGUUUUCUGGAGCAAAGAAACCAAAUGAUUUGGAGUUUUUGAGGGAUUUUAUGGAGGAGCUGCAAGAACUGAUGGAAACAGGCUUUAAAGGGAAGAGAAUUGUCCUCAAAAACAUCAUAUGUGAUGCACCAGCACGAGCCCUCAUCAAAGGAAUAGUUCAGUUUAAUGGCCGCUAUGGCUGUGACUUUUGUGAUGUAAAGGGAGUUCAUGAGAGCAAAAUGCUUUUUUUGUAUAAAGGAAAUCUCAGAACCAAUGAGUCAUUUAGACAGAAGACAAAUCCUGAACAUCACAAAACAGAUAGCAUUCUUUUGAAUCUGGACAUUGAUAUGAUCAGGCAGUUCCCAAUAGAUCCCAUGCAUUGUGUAGAUCGAGGAGUGACUAAGCGAAUGUUGAUGCUGUGGAAAGAAGGACCUUUGGCCCAUAGAUUAUCGGCUGGACAUCUUAGCACAAUUACUUAAUUUCAUCAAGCUGUCCGACAUUACAUACCUCCUGAAUUCAAUAGGAAACCCAGGGGGUUAGAUGAACUGAAGCACUGGAAAGCAACUGAAUUCCGAACAUUUUUGCUUUAUACUGGACCAGUGAUUUUGAAAUAUGUUCUCGAUAAGGAGAAGUAUAUUCACUUCCUUUCACUUAGUAUUGGAAUGCGCAUCUUGUACAGUGAAAACCUAAUGGAGCAUCGUGAUUAUGCAGAUGAGCUGUUAACAUAUUUUGUUGAAAAGGGUAGCAGCCUGUAUAGCAUGAGUUUCAUCUCAUAUAAUGUGCAUUGCUUGCUACAUCUCACUGAUGUUGCAAAUUACAACAGAUCAUUACACUAUUGUUCAGCGUACAAGUUUGAGAACAAUAUGGGUCAAAUCAAGAGGUUUAUCCGCGGUUCAAGUGAUCCACUGAUUCAAGUAGCUAACAGAUUGGCAGAGAGGCAAGCAAUAUCAAGUUCUAAGAAAUCAAAUGUUAACUCUGGUACGCCAAAGACAAAAGAAUGUUACAGAAUGACCAAUGAUAGCUACUGCCUUAUACAUGGAGUUCAAGAAAAUCUGAUUUUUUGUGAGGUUUUUUGCAGAAUGGAACCUUUGUACACUAAGCCAUGUGACUCCAGAAUAAUUGGCAUAUUCAAAGGAUUUCGGAAUCACACUAAAAUGUUACAUACUGACACCACUCGACUGGGACAUAAAGCAAUCAUGAUACCUUUGUCCUUGAUUGAUAAAGAUGAAUACAAUGCGGUAGCGCCUAUACCGCUCAUGCAUUCAGUUUGAUUAGUUAGUCAAGGAAGGAACCAAAGGAAACAAAAUGCAAAGUCACCAUGGAGAAAUUGUUUGAUCUGAAUACUAAGAUACUCCAACAAAUUCAAAUGCUGGAACAGAGACAAGCUGUCAUCAUGAAUGACUUGGCAAAAGUUAAGUCUGUUCUCAUGAAGCGGGCAGAAGAAGAUGCCCAUGAGGAACUUUUUAAACAACAACAGUGCUCCAGCUUUGAAACGUUUGAAGCCUUCUUAUCGAGAGCUUUAUGUACACUAUCUCAUCCAUACUCACGGCAGCUCCAGUAUAGGUGAGAUGGUGAGACAGGCUUUAAAAAGCAUAGCGUCAGACAAUGUUCUCUGUCUGUAUAACAGAACGGGGAAAGAUGGGAAGAAGGUGUUGCCACCUGUGCUCCUGACAUGUUUGAAAAAAUGUGUCAGGUCUUUUCACAAACAAAAUGAAAUAGAGGUGAAGAAGCUAAAAGUAACCACCAGAACAACACCAGACGCGGAAUGUAUUCGCCAAGUAGUAAUUUUUUGUCCAACGCCAACACCAGGCUGAAAAGGAAACCAAAUAAAGGAAAAAGCUGACUUUUUGUUUGUUUGUUUUUAUUGAUGGAAAUAAAGAAUGUGGGUGUAAAAGUUUGAGUUAACUGAAUUUUAGAUAACAGUGAACUAACACAAUUAUUGCAUAGUGGUGUUAUAUGGUGAUCUCACAGUAUGAGCACACAGUGACCACAGUAUGAGCACACAGUGACCACAGUAUGAGCACAUGGUGACCA